AUGUGGACAGUAUGGGAGUGAGAAUGUUGGCAUGAGUAGCGAGAUGUGGGUGAGAAUCCCACAGGCCGUAAACCCAAGGUUUCCAGGGGAAGGUUCGUCCGCCCUGGGUUAGUCGGGACCUAAGCUGCGGCCGAAAGGCGUAGGUGAUGGACAACAGGUUGAUAUUCCUGUACUACCGAUAACCGUUUGAGAGAAGGGAUGACACAGUAGGAUAAGCUAAGCACACUGUUGGUUAUGUGUGCCCAAGCAUUGAGGCAGUCAAAGUAGGUAAAUCCGCUUUGAUAAUGCUGGGAUGUGAUGGGGAGCGAAAUUUAGUAGCGAAGUAGCUGAUUUCACACUGUCAAGAAAAG
Molecule: ribosomal RNA, 350 nt
Filed under: Clostridioides difficile
Lineage: Bacteria; Bacillati; Bacillota; Clostridia; Peptostreptococcales; Peptostreptococcaceae
Description: bacterial LSU rRNA
Rfam family: Bacterial large subunit ribosomal RNA
Source: RNAcentral